UCCCUGGUGGCUCAGAGGUUAAAGCGUCUGCCUCCAAUGCGGUAGACCCGGGUUCGAUCCCUGGGUAGGGAA
Molecule: non-coding RNA, 72 nt
Organism: Bos taurus (domestic cattle)
Lineage: Eukaryota; Metazoa; Chordata; Mammalia; Artiodactyla; Bovidae
Source: Rfam